Molecule: long non-coding RNA, 318 nt
Organism: Aptenodytes forsteri (emperor penguin)
Lineage: Eukaryota; Metazoa; Chordata; Aves; Sphenisciformes; Spheniscidae
Exons: 3
Source: RefSeq, a predicted model, not a curated record
CUGCGUGUUUGAAUGUGUGCCUACAUUAACAGCUGCUCAUGGGGAAGCUGAACUGGUUCCUCUUAUACAAGAAUCCUUCUGCACACAGUGAUACAGUUCGGGAAGUGUAGAUCACAUUACCUACCUCGCAAAGGUGUGCUUCACCCACCGAGCGCCGUUAUUUUGAUAAUACCUUCAUUUGUCUAGCCUAGUCUAUGCUGAAAGCUCUUUAUGGGAUGGAAGACCCAUAUUUUGAAGAGAGGGUUAUCAGUUGGAUCCAAUUCACCAGUUCACUGCUACGAGUAGUAGUCAUCUUUUUAAUUUACACUUUCCUUUAAU